RNAcentral lists this ribosomal RNA (450 nucleotides) under uncultured bacterium. RNAcentral's name for it is "partial 16S ribosomal RNA". It matches the Rfam family "Bacterial small subunit ribosomal RNA", at positions 338 to 795 of the family's 1533-position model. The record is from RNAcentral.
CCUACGGGGGGCUGCAGUGGGGAAUUUUGGACAAUGGGCGCAAGCCUGAUCCAGCAAUGCCGCGUGCAGGAAGAAGGCCUUCGGGUUGUAAACUGCUUUUGUCAGGGAAGAAAUCCUCUGGGUUAAUACCUCGGGGGGAUGACGGUACCUGAAGAAUAAGCACCGGCUAACUACGUGCCAGCAGCCGCGGUAAUACGUAGGGUACGAGCGUUAAUCGGAAUUACUGGGCGUGAAGCGUGCGCAGGCAGCUGAAAUCCCCGGGCUCAACCUGGGAACUGCAUUUGUGACUGCAAGGCUAGAGUACGGCAGAGGGGGAUGGAAUUCCGCGUGUAGCAGUGAAAUGCGUAGAUAUGCGGAGGAACACCGAUGGCGAAGGCAAUCCCCUGGGCCUGUACUGACGCUCAUGCACGAAAGCGUGGGGAGCAAACAGGAUUAGAUACCCCUGUAGUC